RNAcentral lists this ribosomal RNA (459 nucleotides) under uncultured bacterium. RNAcentral describes it as "partial 16S ribosomal RNA". It matches the Rfam family "Bacterial small subunit ribosomal RNA", at positions 339 to 795 of the family's 1533-position model. The record is from RNAcentral.
CUACGGGAGGCUCCAGUGAGGAAUAUUGGUCAAUGGGCGAAAGCCUGAACCAGCCAUGCCGCGUGAAGGAUGACAGCGCUACGCGUUGUAAACUUCUUUUGUACGGGAAGAAACACUUCUACGUGUAGAAGCUUGACGGUACCGUACGAAUAAGCAUCGGCUAACUCCGUGCCAGCAGCCGCGUUAAUACGGAGGAUGCAAGCGUUAUCCGGAUUUAUUGGGUUUAAAGGGUACGUAGGCGGAAAAUUAAGUCAGUGGUGAAAUCCCGCAGCUCAACUGUGGAACUGUCAUUGAUACUGGUUUUCUUGAAUGUAGUUGAGGUAGGCGGAGUGUGUAAUGUAGCGGCGAAAUGCUUAGAUAUUACACAGAACACCGAUUGCGAAGGCAGCUUACUAAGCUAUGAUUGACGCUGAGGUACGAAAGCGUGGGGAGCGAACAGGAUUAGAUACCCCAGUAGUC